Molecule: long non-coding RNA, 2022 nt
Organism: Alligator mississippiensis (American alligator)
Lineage: Eukaryota; Metazoa; Chordata; Crocodylia; Alligatoridae
Exons: 3
Source: RefSeq, a predicted model, not a curated record
UUUCGGCUUUGCACGGGAAUUAAGGUCUUCCAGCGGGGAGCGAAAAUAGUGGGCGAUGACCGGCGUCGAUCCUGCGGACUGGAGAGAGGUGUUUCGCCCCCUUCGCCCGCGGCAGGUCGCCGAUGUCAACCGUGCCAGGACGCGGGCGCGCGCCCGGGAGAACCACCUCUCUCCCGCGUCUUGGAAAGAGAAGCUGUGACAAACCUAAAAAGACCCCAGCUUGUGGAACUCAUUGCCUAAAGAUUUUGUGGAGGUUGAAAACUUACUGGAAUUCAGAAUAGGAUAGAGCGUCAACAUAGUCAAUGAGAACGAGAGAGGCAGAACAGGAAGGAUGAAAAUAUUUUGGGAGGGAUACAAUCCUGCCUGCUUCGGGGCAUCAAUUGGCUUCCAACUAAUGGAGUUUAACUCGAAUCAAACAAAUAGUGCAGGACAUCAAGGAUUCAGCUUCAAACUUCAGGAAACAAAUGGAUAGGUUGCGCCACAACAACAAAAUGGGGUUUCUCAGCAUAGGCAUGCAGAAUUGCCCUUUCCUGACACCCAUGUCCACGGUAUAAUCCGUGCCAAACUACAUUAACAACAUAGCUGAUAGAUCCCAACAUUUUUGUGACAUGCAGUAGAGGUUUAAUAAAAGAGCUACCAAAUUAACAAGGGCCUUUUUUUUUUUUCGCAAGAAGUCUUUUUCUUCUUUUUUGCAUUAAGUUCCCUUCUGCAGUGGUUGUGCACACAGGAUGUUACACACAGUAUUGGAAGCCAGGGCUCCAGGUUUCUGUGCCUGGCUCUCCCACUAAUUUGUUGUAUGGCCUUGGCCAAUUCACUUAUCCUUUCUGAGCUAUUGCAUGCCCAGCUGUAAACUGAAGGCAGUAUUUACAGGAUAUCCUUCACUGGGAAUCUUAGUUAAUUUAGGCCCAAACCUGUACUAUGCAAUCCAAUGGGAAUUUAGAGAUGGGAAAUCUAGAGAUUUGAGGUUCUCAGCUUAAAAUUGUUAUAGUCUCAUUCCUGCUUACAACUUUAUUUUCUAGUUUUAAAACAGACCCUUCCCCUCUUCCAAUUUCCUUUUAAGAAGGAACCUGAAGUUUCAGCAGAGCGCUCUUUCGUGGAAUACAAAAAUAGCUUGACCACAGCAGUGGAAGGGGUGGAGGAAGUCUGCGAGAGGCCCUGCCACUCACCGUUAUUCCUCCAGCAUUUUGUUCCUGCAUAUCCAUUUCUGUCUUCUUUUUUAAUAAAACACAUACUGUAUUUAUAGAAUGAUAAAACAUUUCUAUAUAAGGCAGCAGCAACAGGAAGCUGGCUCGAAGCAGAAUUCCUAUGCUAAAAAAGCACCCAUUCCAGGAAGGCACCACUUCCAAGUGGGAUUUCUCCCACAUACCAACCCAUACCCACAUGCAGAAGCAGAGCAGCAGUGUAACAGUGCUUUUCUCCGAGAGAUGGUUGUCUGCCUGCGAUCCAGCGGGUAGGAACGCUGAUCCACUCCUGCAGGAAGAAGACAAGGCAGAUAAGAGCCUAGAGGGGAAAAAAGGGCAGAUGAGCCCGGAGGGAGGCAGCAGCAGUUAAAAAUAGAGAUGAAAAAUGAGAGAAGAGAAGGAAGAAGAAAGCAGGGAGAAAACUAGGAGCACUAAGGAGAGAAAAGAAAGGGAACAAAGACAAAGGGAAACCAUGCACCUAGGAAUGAGAGCUCUUGACAGUCCCUGACAGGAGUAAGUACCCCACGAAGGGCGGAGGAAAGUGCAACGCCUACCCCUACAUUUUUAGCAUCCUGUCUCUAUUGCUGUCAGUACAAUUAAGGCAUUUCUGGCCUAUCACAGCCUGUUACACAGGGUUACUUCCAGGUAAUGGACCACACAGAAAAGGGCUGGAUUAUUUGCGUUAAGGAAAGAAAGGUAUAGGAGGGGGGAAGGAAGGGAAGAAAAAAAAAAUUGAAGCCCAAGUAGAGUGGAAGGGGGAUUGCUUUUCAUUAACCGCUAUAAUGCCGCUAGUUUUCCAGAAAACAUUUUGGUCGAGGCUCCCUCAGCUCCUUACCAUCCC